UUUUCGGUAGCUGAACAUGMGGAAGGAUCAUUG
This 33-nucleotide ribosomal RNA is filed under the name Acer palmatum subsp. palmatum. RNAcentral describes it as "partial 18S rRNA". The record is from RNAcentral. Lineage: Eukaryota; Viridiplantae; Streptophyta; Magnoliopsida; Sapindales; Sapindaceae.